Molecule: long non-coding RNA, 794 nt
Filed under: Vigna radiata
Lineage: Eukaryota; Viridiplantae; Streptophyta; Magnoliopsida; Fabales; Fabaceae
Description: long non-coding RNA (VRAD_LNC014012)
Source: RNAcentral
UUAACUCGUACUCGAGACCAUAAUUAUGUAUUGAAUGAUGAAUUAUUUCAAUUAAUUUUUGAAAACAAAAAACAAAAGCAAAUAAAAAAGUUCCAUCAACAGAACUUUGGGCAUAUCUCAGAAUUAAAUCAACCAACUGAAUAAUUUAAGUAGCAUAUAUAUAUAAAUGCAUACAUCCAUGGAUCAUGUCCUCUUGAGUUCACUAAGUUAAAAAGACAAAACCUUGUUGCAGUGGAGACAUGAUCACGACAGUCUCAAAAUUUUGAGGUUGUGAAUGAAAAUGUAGUAUUAAAAUCCUGGCUUAAAACAUUUUAUCUAACCGCCGCCUCCGUCACCACCACCGCCACCGUCACCACCGAGUCCGCUUAAACGACGAUCUGGCUUUCGUGAAUAAGUAGCACUAACACCACCACGGGUGCUAUAUCUACUUGAACGAUGAACUGGUGGUGGUGCUCUUCGUGGAUAUGGCUCGUUCUCGUCAAGCCCACAGGAAAAUAUGAUCAUUGAUAUAAGCAAAAGAGACAGAAAAACGAUUCCCAGCAAACCUAAGGUACCCGAGUUAUACCAAAUUACUUCCUCUUGGGCGCCACCAUGAAACAUUGCAAGGAAUUCUCUAGCCAUUUUUGGAACCUUCUCUUUCUAAACCCUUCCUAUCAUAUAUUUUCAAAUCCGACCAGGCUCUUCGUGACCACUUUCAUCUUCUAACUGGGUCAAAAGCUUCCAGAGUUUAUGUUCUAUAAAAACUAACACAAGGGUGCAUUCUAUAUUAGUAAACCCUACUGUGGUACAAGAUU